RNAcentral lists this ribosomal RNA (2798 nucleotides) under Klebsiella pneumoniae. Its description in RNAcentral is "partial 23S ribosomal RNA". It matches the Rfam family "Bacterial large subunit ribosomal RNA". Lineage: Bacteria; Pseudomonadati; Pseudomonadota; Gammaproteobacteria; Enterobacterales; Enterobacteriaceae. The record is from RNAcentral.
CCGGCGAUGUCCGAAUGGGGAAACCCAGUGCAAUUCGUUGCACUAUCGUUAACUGAAUACAUAGGUUAACGAGGCGAACCGGGGGAACUGAAACAUCUAAGUACCCCGAGGAAAAGAAAUCAACCGAGAUUCCCCCAGUAGCGGCGAGCGAACGGGGAGCAGCCCAGAGUCUGAAUCAGCUUGUGUGUUAGUGGAACGGUCUGGAAAGUCCGACGGUACAGGGUGAUAGUCCCGUACACCAAAAUGCACAGGCUGUGAACUCGAAGAGUAGGGCGGGACACGUGGUAUCCUGUCUGAAUAUGGGGGGACCAUCCUCCAAGGCUAAAUACUCCUGACUGACCGAUAGUGAACCAGUACCGUGAGGGAAAGGCGAAAAGAACCCCGGCGAGGGGAGUGAAAAAGAACCUGAAACCGUGUACGUACAAGCAGUGGGAGCACCUUCGGGUGUGACUGCGUACCUUUUGUAUAAUGGGUCAGCGACUUAUAUUCUGUAGCAAGGUUAACCGUAUAGGGGAGCCGCAGGGAAACCGAGUCUUAACUGGGCGUUAAGUUGCAGGGUAUAGACCCGAAACCCGGUGAUCUAGCCAUGGGCAGGUUGAAGGUUGGGUAACACUAACUGGAGGACCGAACCGACUAAUGUUGAAAAAUUAGCGGAUGACUUGUGGCUGGGGGUGAAAGGCCAAUCAAACCGGGAGAUAGCUGGUUCUCCCCGAAAGCUAUUUAGGUAGCGCCUCGUGAAUUCAUCUUCGGGGGUAGAGCACUGUUUCGGCUAGGGGGUCAUCCCGACUUACCAACCCGAUGCAAACUACGAAUACCGAAGAAUGUUAUCACGGGAGACACACGGCGGGUGCUAACGUCCGUCGUGAAGAGGGAAACAACCCAGACCGCCAGCUAAGGUCCCAAAGUCAUGGUUAAGUGGGAAACGAUGUGGGAAGGCACAGACAGCCAGGAUGUUGGCUUAGAAGCAGCCAUCAUUUAAAGAAAGCGUAAUAGCUCACUGGUCGAGUCGGCCUGCGCGGAAGAUGUAACGGGGCUAAACCAUGCACCGAAGCUGCGGCAGCGACACUAUGUGUUGUUGGGUAGGGGAGCGUUCUGUAAGCCUGCGAAGGUGACCUGUGAGGGUUGCUGGAGGUAUCAGAAGUGCGAAUGCUGACAUAAGUAACGAUAAAGCGGGUGAAAAGCCCGCUCGCCGGAAGACCAAGGGUUCCUGUCCAACGUUAAUCGGGGCAGGGUGAGUCGACCCCUAAGGCGAGGCCGAAAGGCGUAGUCGAUGGGAAACAGGUUAAUAUUCCUGUACUUGGUGUUACUGCGAAGGGGGGACGGAGAAGGCUAUGUUAGCCGGGCGACGGUUGUCCCGGUUUAAGCAUGUAGGCUGGUUAUCCAGGCAAAUCCGGAUAAUCAAGGCUGAGGUGUGAUGACGAGGCACUACGGUGCUGAAGUAACAAAUGCCCUGCUUCCAGGAAAAGCCUCUAAGCAUCAGGUAACAUCAAAUCGUACCCCAAACCGACACAGGUGGUCAGGUAGAGAAUACCAAGGCGCUUGAGAGAACUCGGGUGAAGGAACUAGGCAAAAUGGUGCCGUAACUUCGGGAGAAGGCACGCUGGUGUGUAGGUGAAGUCCCUGCGGAUGGAGCUGAGACCAGUCGAAGAUACCAGCUGGCUGCAACUGUUUAUUAAAAACACAGCACUGUGCAAACACGAAAGUGGACGUAUACGGUGUGACGCCUGCCCGGUGCCGGAAGGUUAAUUGAUGGGGUUAUCCGUAAGGAGAAGCUCUUGAUCGAAGCCCCGGUAAACGGCGGCCGUAACUAUAACGGUCCUAAGGUAGCGAAAUUCCUUGUCGGGUAAGUUCCGACCUGCACGAAUGGCGUAAUGAUGGCCAGGCUGUCUCCACCCGAGACUCAGUGAAAUUGAACUCGCUGUGAAGAUGCAGUGUACCCGCGGCAAGACGGAAAGACCCCGUGAACCUUUACUAUAGCUUGACACUGAACAUUGAGCCUUGAUGUGUAGGAUAGGUGGGAGGCUUUGAAGCGUGGACGCCAGUCUGCGUGGAGCCAACCUUGAAAUACCACCCUUUAAUGUUUGAUGUUCUAACGUUGGCCCCUUACCGGGGUUGCGGACAGUGUCUGGUGGGUAGUUUGACUGGGGCGGUCUCCUCCCAAAGCGUAACGGAGGAGCACGAAGGUUAGCUAAUCCUGGUCGGACAUCAGGAGGUUAGUGCAAUGGCAUAAGCUAGCUUGACUGCGAGCGUGACGGCGCGAGCAGGUGCGAAAGCAGGUCAUAGUGAUCCGGUGGUUCUGAAUGGAAGGGCCAUCGCUCAACGGAUAAAAGGUACUCCGGGGAUAACAGGCUGAUACCGCCCAAGAGUUCAUAUCGACGGCGGUGUUUGGCACCUCGAUGUCGGCUCAUCACAUCCUGGGGCUGAAGUAGGUCCCAAGGGUAUGGCUGUUCGCCAUUUAAAGUGGUACGCGAGCUGGGUUUAGAACGUCGUGAGACAGUUCGGUCCCUAUCUGCCGUGGGCGCUGGAGAAUUGAGGGGGGCUGCUCCUAGUACGAGAGGACCGGAGUGGACGCAUCACUGGUGUUCGGGUUGUCAUGCCAAUGGCACUGCCCGGUAGCUAAAUGCGGAAGAGAUAAGUGCUGAAAGCAUCUAAGCACGAAACUUGCCCCGAGAUGAGUUCUCCCUGAGACUUUAAGUCUCCUGAAGGAACGUUAAAGACGAUGACGUUGAUAGGCCGGGUGUGUAAGCGCAGCGAUGCGUUGAGCUAACCGGUACUAAUGAACCGUGAGGCUUAACCUU